This 469-nucleotide ribosomal RNA is filed under the name uncultured Acidovorax sp. RNAcentral's name for it is "bacterial SSU rRNA". It matches the Rfam family "Bacterial small subunit ribosomal RNA", at positions 910 to 1382 of the family's 1533-position model. Lineage: Bacteria; Pseudomonadati; Pseudomonadota; Betaproteobacteria; Burkholderiales; Comamonadaceae. The record is from RNAcentral.
UUGACGGGACCCGCACAAGCGGUGGAUGAUGUGGUUUAAUUCGAUGCAACGCGAAAACCUUACCACCUUUGACAUGUACGGAAUCCUUUAGAGAUAGAGGAGUGCUCGAAAGAGAACCGUAACACAGGUGCUGCAUGGCUGUCGUCAGCUCGUGUCGUGAGAUGUUGGGUUAAGUCCCGCAACGAGCGCAACCCUUGUCAUUAGUUGCUACAUUCAGUUGGGCACUCUAAUGAGACUGCCGGUGACAAACCGGAGGAAGGUGGGGAUGACGUCAAGUCCUCAUGGCCCUUAUAGGUGGGGCUACACACGUCAUACAAUGGAUGGUACAAAGGGUCGCCAACCCGCGAGGGGGAGCCAAUCCCAUAAAGCCAUUCGUAGUCCGGAUCGCAGUCUGCAACUCGAGAGCAUGAAGUCGGAAUCGCUAGUAAUCGCGGAUCAGCAUGUCGCGGUGAAUACGUUCCCGGGUCUU